AGGGUUUGAUCCUGGCUCAGAUUGAACGCUGGCGGCAGGCCUAACACAUGCAAGUCGAGCGGUAACAGAGAUAGCUUGCUAUUUGCUGACGAGCGGCGGACGGGUGCGUAACACGUAGGAAUCUGCCCGGUAGAGGGGGAUAGCCCGAAGAAAUUCGGAUUAAUACCGCAUACGCCCUAAUGGGGAAAGCAGGGAAUCUUCGGACCUUGCGCUAUCGGAUGAGCCUGCGUCGGAUUAGCUUGUUGGUGAGGUAAAAGCUCACCAAGGCGACGAUCCGUAGCUGGUCUGAGAGGAUGAUCAGCCACACUGGGACUGAGACACGGCCCAGACUCCUACGGGAGGCAGCAGUGGGGAAUAUUGCACAAUGGGCGCAAGCCUGAUGCAGCCAUGCCGCGUGUGUGAAGAAGGCUCUAGGGUUGUAAAGCACUUUCAGCGAGGAGGAAAGGUAUAAGGUUAAUACCCUUGUGCUGUGACGUUACUCGCAGAAGAAGCACCGGCUAACUCCGUGCCAGCAGCCGCGGUAAUACGGAGGGUGCGAGCGUUAAUCGGAAUUACUGGGCGUAAAGCGUGCGUAGGCGGCUAUUUAAGUGGGAUGUGAAAUCCCCGGGCUUAACCUGGGAACUGCAUCCCAAACUGGGUAGCUAGAGUACGGCAGAGGAGUGUUGGAAUUUCCUGUGUAGCGGUGAAAUGCGUANAUAUUAGGAAGGAACACCAGUGGCGAAGGCNACACUCUGGGCUGAUACUGACGCUGAGGUACNAAAGCGUGGGGANCAAACA
This 777-nucleotide ribosomal RNA is filed under the name uncultured bacterium. Its description in RNAcentral is "bacterial SSU rRNA". It matches the Rfam family "Bacterial small subunit ribosomal RNA", at positions 8 to 774 of the family's 1533-position model. The record is from RNAcentral.